This 253-nucleotide ribosomal RNA is filed under the name uncultured bacterium. RNAcentral's name for it is "partial 16S ribosomal RNA". It matches the Rfam family "Bacterial small subunit ribosomal RNA", at positions 524 to 776 of the family's 1533-position model. The record is from RNAcentral.
UACGGGGGGGGCAAGCGUUGUUCGGAAUUACUGGGCGUAAAGGGCUCGUAGGCGGCCAACUAAGUCGGAUGUGAAAUCCCCAGGCUUAACCUGGGAACUGCAUCCGAUACUGGAUGGCUUGAAUCCGGGAGAGGGAUGUGGAAUUCCAGGUGUAGCGGUGAAAUGCGUAGAUAUCUGGAGGAACACCGGUGGCGAAGGCGACAUCCUGGACCGGUAUUGACGCUGAGGCGCGAAAGCUAGGGGAGCAAACGGG